AACUAACAAGGAUUCCCCUAGUAACUGCGAGUGAACCGGGAAAAGCUCAAAUUUUGAAUCUGGCGGUCUUUAUGGCCGUCCGAGUUGUAAUCUAGAGAAGCGUCUUCCGCGCUGGACCGUGUAUAAGUUUCCUGGAAUGGAACGUCGUAGAGGGUGAGAAUCCCGUCUUUGACACGGACUACCAGGGCUAUGUGAUGCGCUCUCGACGAGUCGAGUUGUUUGGGAAUGCAGCUCAAAUAGGGUGGUAAAUUCCAUCUAAAGCUAAAUAUAGGCGAGAGACCGAUAGCGAACAAGUACCGUGAGGGAAAGAUGAAAAGAACUUUGGAAAGAGAGUUAAACAGUACGUGAAAUUGCUGAAAGGGAAACGCUUGAUGUCAGUCGCGUUUGUCGGGGAUCAGCCUUGCUCUUUUGCUCGGCGUACUUCCUGGCGAACGGGUCAGCAUCAGUUUUGUUCGUCGGAAAAUGGCUCGAGAAAUGUGGCACUCUUCGGGGUGUGUUAUAGACUCGGGUCGAAUACGACGUUCGGGACUGAGGAACUCAGCACGACCUUCGGGUUCGGGGCUUAGGCCCACGUUAACGUGCUUAGGAUGCUGGCAUAAUGGCCUUAAGCGACCCGUCUUGAAACACGGACCAAGGAGUCUAACUCGCAUGCGAGUGUUUGGGCGAUUAAAACCCGAGCGCGUAAUGAAAGUGAAAGUCGAGACCCCUGUCGUGGGGGGCAUCGACGCCCGGACCAGAGCUUCUGCGACGGAUCUGCGGUAGAGCAUGCGUGUUGGGACCCGAAAGAUGGUGAACUAUGCCUGAAUAGGGUGAAGCCAGAGGAAACUCUGGUGGAGGCUCGUAGCGAUUCUGACGUGCAA
RNAcentral lists this ribosomal RNA (860 nucleotides) under Suillus grevillei. Its description in RNAcentral is "eukaryotic LSU rRNA". It matches the Rfam family "Eukaryotic large subunit ribosomal RNA", at positions 63 to 896 of the family's 3401-position model. The record is from RNAcentral. Lineage: Eukaryota; Fungi; Basidiomycota; Agaricomycetes; Boletales; Suillaceae.